This is a long non-coding RNA of Grammomys surdaster, 1048 nucleotides long. RefSeq lists it as uncharacterized. NCBI's taxonomy places the organism in Eukaryota, Metazoa, Chordata, Mammalia, Rodentia, Muridae. The transcript has 2 exons. The record is from RefSeq and is a predicted model, not a curated record.
UAGACAAAGAUCAAGCCCUAAGGAGAUGGUCCGGAAGGCCUCCAGCAGUUACUCAGCCUGUAGGAUUAUAGGGAGCCAGGAAGGAAAGCGAAACAACUGGUUCCUUCUGGUCAAGAGGAUGAAAUCUCUAAACUAUCAUAUGUUAAUCUAGUGCCCAGGCCAAAGGAUUACCCUGUCUGCAAGACAGGGCCACUCCUAGGAAGACAUGCUCACUUUAAGCUGGGCUAUGGAAUAAUGAUCCCUUUAAUGAGAUACUGUAUUUUUCCUUCCCAGAAUUCCUGGCCCCCAAGCACAGUUCCUACAAGGUGCCAUGAGGUUCUGUUGAAUCUGCUUUUCUCUUUUUCCCUUUUCUGACUUUUGAAUGCUUGUCAGAACAUAAAUUUGCUUUUUGCUAAUACUUUGGGCUUCCUCUAAAGCUCUACUCUGCCCUCCUUGCUGGUUUAACACAAAGAGAAUGACAUUUUUUUCCUUUUCUUCCUCCUUUUUCAGACACAGAAGGAGUUUUUGUUUUGUCUUUGACAAGGGUCUCACUACAUAGAUCUGGCUUCUACCUCCCUGAAAGGACCCACAUGGUGGAGGCAAGAAGCAGCAUCAGCAAGUGGUCUACAUGAACACCAUGACACCUGUGGCCCCCUGCACCCCAUAAAUGCAAAAAGGAAAACUGUUAAAGAUGGGAGAGAUACCUGUCCACUAGAUGAGUUACUUCUGUGCCUCAGCCCUCCCCUUGACACCAAUGUUGAAGGUACUCGAGGGACCCCUUUCUAGCUUCUCAGAAGUUGCUCUUUCCUCUGUCCCCCCUUUCAGAUUCCAGCGAACAUCCUAAGCCUGCCCGCCCAGACAUCUGACAUUCUCACCCUUUCUCUGAGGACACCCCAUGUGCCCAACCAUGCACUGCUCCAGCACUGCCCUCACUACGCCUGCCUGCUUUCUUGACAUCUAACUCAAAAGAGCAUGGCUUUCUGCCUCCUCUUGCCCAUCUCCCUCCUCCUGGAAGCUGCUGAAAUUCCUCUACAUAAACUCAAAAGUAAAAAAUAAGAAAUCUGCUUAC